GUCCCAAAAGCUUCAUAAUUCAGUGAUGGCUUUUGUAGCCUGAACUGUUGGUAGCUUUUUGGAACAGCAAAUACCAUGCUCCACUGUGGACUACACAGUUGUAGUUCAUAACUACUGAUGUGGUUGACAAA
This is a small nucleolar RNA of Cyanistes caeruleus (blue tit), 131 nucleotides long. The record is from Ensembl. NCBI's taxonomy places the organism in Eukaryota, Metazoa, Chordata, Aves, Passeriformes, Paridae.